RNAcentral lists this long non-coding RNA (411 nucleotides) under Populus trichocarpa (black cottonwood). Its description in RNAcentral is "long non-coding RNA (PTRI_LNC004024)". The record is from RNAcentral. Lineage: Eukaryota; Viridiplantae; Streptophyta; Magnoliopsida; Malpighiales; Salicaceae.
GACAUUCAUUCUGAUUUCUUUAAUUCCAAACACAAAAAUUCAUUUAACCCUCUUAAUUAAAUUUAGCAACGUUUAGGAACGUGGCUGUGGCUGUGUUUUUAAAAAAUUUAAUUUUUUUAUUUUACUAAAAUUUAAUAUGGUUUGUAUGUUUUAGAUCGUUUUGAUGUACUGAUGUCAAAAAUAAUUUUUAAAAAAUAAAAAAAUAUCAUUAGCAUGCAUUUUGGCACGAAAAGUUAUUUAAAAAGCACCCAUAAUUACACUACCAAACACACUUUUAAUUUGCAGGAUUUCAAAUAGAAUUGUAAGAAAUACUUGCAAGUUAUAGCACAUAAAAAAAUACAAACCAUCAAGACAUGGAAUUUUUUUACCACUUGUCAUCUAUAGUGGCAUUCUAAGGCCUUUAUAAUACGA